Molecule: unclassified non-coding RNA, 432 nt
Filed under: Hevea brasiliensis (rubber tree)
Lineage: Eukaryota; Viridiplantae; Streptophyta; Magnoliopsida; Malpighiales; Euphorbiaceae
Source: RNAcentral
GCCAGAGGUAAUGGAUCCAAGCAUUUCUAAUAAAUAUGUUUGCCAAUUGGAUUUGAUGAUGUUUGCGUUCCUUGGAGAAAAGCGAAGGACUCAAGAGUGUUCAAGCGAAGGACUCAGAGAGUUCAAGGCCCUAGGCAUGACUGCUCGUUUUUUAGGGUUCAAAUAAUUUGCUACGCUGCUUAUAACGCAGUGGGUGUCGUGGAAUUCUACAAAUAAUUAGGCUACUGGUUUAGGUUUAUUUACUUUUCCGAUUGGAUUAUCUUUGUCAUGGUUUUUUGUGGAUGUCUUUCAAUGCCUAGCUCGUGCUUCAGAAUUUCUUUCAAUGUUUUUUGAUACCUUGCACUGCAGUUCAAUGUUGACAAAUGUAAACUGCUAUUUUGGAAAGAAAUCGUGGAGAUCUAUGUCAACUCACAACCGAUAAAGAAAGAUGGC